This 61-nucleotide transfer RNA is filed under the name Heterocephalus glaber (naked mole-rat). It matches the Rfam family "tRNA". From Rfam's summary of the family: Transfer RNA (tRNA) molecules are approximately 80 nucleotides in length. Their secondary structure includes four short double-helical elements and three loops (D, anti-codon, and T loops). The record is from Rfam by way of RNAcentral. Lineage: Eukaryota; Metazoa; Chordata; Mammalia; Rodentia; Bathyergidae.
GGGGAUGUAGCUCAAUAGUAGAGCACUUGCCUAGCAUGCAAGAGGCCUUAUUCAAUCCCCA